This 229-nucleotide long non-coding RNA is filed under the name Lathyrus oleraceus (garden pea). RNAcentral's name for it is "Pisum sativum (pea) long non-coding RNA (PSAT_LNC012342)". Lineage: Eukaryota; Viridiplantae; Streptophyta; Magnoliopsida; Fabales; Fabaceae. The record is from RNAcentral.
ACAAUUCAAAUAGAAAAUAAAAAGAAAAAAUGAAGAAAAAAAACUCCCUCCCAUUUCAUGACAGCCACACGACACAUUGGAUCCUCUAUCUUAGUGUGAAAGUGGAAGUAAAAAAGCUAAACAAAAAAGCCUUCCACUCACGAGGCUACACGUGGACCAUCACUUUUUUCAUGAAGUAAUUCAACAUGUUAAGAUCGCCACCUUUAAAUAAAAAGGGCUCACACGUUUA